GACACACUUAAAAAAAAGAAAAAAACUGCACGACAUGCAAAGGAGGCACGUAUCACCUUCUAAGGUACACUAUGAGUAUAUUGCCAAAAUGCCCCUUUUGUAUGUUCAUGCAAUUUUAUCUUAGCCUUGUUUGAGUUAUGUUGAAAAGAUAAAAAUUUGGUGACAAUAAAAUUUUGAAAAGAAAAAAAAACUCCUUUUCAAUAAAAAAAGAGGUAAAAAGGUCUCUCGAAAAAAAUAAAGUGAUGGCAAGCAUUCUAGGAUCCACGCUGCUUGAAUUUUGAUUGUGAAAUUUCCUGAAACAUGGAUGUGAACAACUAACUUGGGGGCAACAAUGAAAUCCUUUCAAACUCUUUAACAUCCCUCGAUUAUUUGUUGUCCACUAACGUUUCGUUGGGAAUAAAAUUACAACCAAGGAGCAUGUACAAUAAUUCCAACACUUCUGCAAAUGCUCCUUAGUCCAACAGGGAGAAAGAUGCACAGGGAACCAAGC
RNAcentral lists this long non-coding RNA (490 nucleotides) under Setaria viridis. Its description in RNAcentral is "long non-coding RNA (SVIR_LNC004189)". Lineage: Eukaryota; Viridiplantae; Streptophyta; Magnoliopsida; Poales; Poaceae. The record is from RNAcentral.